GAGGGCAUAGCCCAGUGGGUUAAAGUACAUGCUUACCAUGCAUGAGGUCCUGGGUUCAAUCCCAAGGGCCUCU
This 73-nucleotide transfer RNA is filed under the name Camelus bactrianus (Bactrian camel). It matches the Rfam family "tRNA". Rfam says of the family: Transfer RNA (tRNA) molecules are approximately 80 nucleotides in length. Their secondary structure includes four short double-helical elements and three loops (D, anti-codon, and T loops). Further hydrogen bonds mediate the characteristic L-shaped molecular structure. tRNAs have two regions of fundamental functional importance: the anti-codon, which is responsible for specific mRNA codon recognition, and the 3' end, to which the tRNAs corresponding amino acid is attached (by aminoacyl-tRNA synthetases). tRNAs cope with the degeneracy of the genetic code in two manners: having more than one tRNA (with a specific anti-codon) for a particular amino acid; and 'wobble' base-pairing, i.e. permitting non-standard base-pairing at the 3rd anti-codon position. RNAcentral also lists the same sequence under 1 other name. Lineage: Eukaryota; Metazoa; Chordata; Mammalia; Artiodactyla; Camelidae. The record is from Rfam by way of RNAcentral.